AUAUAGAUAUAUAUAUAUAUUUGGAACUUUUUAUUUUUGAAUUAGAACAACAACAUUUACAUGGAGAUGCAUUUGAGUUUCUUCUUCCCUUCUCCAGGGCAGUGUUUCCCUGAACAAAGUUCGAAUUUCCUUGUGGCCAUAAGAUCUAUCCAACUUAACCAAGUCACCAAUCAGUACAUAUAGUUCUGACAAGCUUUCUCUGUAUUCAUCGUAUCUGCUCUCUUCUACAUUCUACAUUUUACUUUGAUCUAGCUAAAUAACUCACCCAAAAGACAAAAAAACAUAAAUAAAAAAAAUAAAAAUUAAUAAUAAUAAUUUUCACACGAGAGUACUAUCUUUCUAACAUUUGUUUUAUUGGUUCCCAAAUUUUUUCUAAUUUCCCUAGUCCCAGUCAUAGUCUUGCAUUAAUUUGUUCCAUUUUGUAGACCUGUCUAACUCUGUCUCUCCACUGUGCCACCCUUGGUGGUUCUGUGUCCAGCCAUAAAACUGUAAUACACUUCUUGGCAGUCAUAAGCAGAAUUCUGAUUACGUAUGUCUCCAUUAUGUGUGUAUGAUUUUUGGUACAGCAUUCCCAGUACAAACCAUUUUAACUUAAAUUGUAAUUUCACCUUCCAGGUUCUUUCAAUUUCUCCCUAACACCUUCCCAGAAUGGUAUGAAUUUAGGGCAGUCCAAAAAUAUAUGUGAAAAGUCUCCCACUAGCCCGCAUUUUCUCCAACAUAAAUUUGAAACAUUACUAUUUAGACAUGAUAAGUGGAGUUUUAAAGCAUGCAUCUUCACCUUCCAUUCAAAUUCCCUCCAAGACGGACUAUUAGUAGUUUAUGGCCUGCUUCAAGUGUUUCCUCCCAUUCCUCAUCUGUUAUCAUUAUGUUCACUUCCAGUUCCCAUUUUUCUUUAAUAUCUAUAUUCUUAACAAUCAAAUCCUGUUGUAAAGCUUUAUAUAUUUUGAAAUCAGUCCUUUUUGACAUGUCCUUUCUGUUUAACAUAAUCACUUCCUCCAUAUUAAGUUUAUCCUUGCUUGAAACUUUGCCUUAUUUUGAAAUAACUACUCUGUCUGUCUGUCCUAAAUAACAUAUUAAGCAUGAAAUUACGAAUUAUUGUGAAAUUACACGCACAGGAAGUGCUUUUAUUUUGUAGCAUUUGCUCAGUCAGCUCUCGAAGCUUCUCAGCAGACCGAGAAGAAGAGCAAGGGUUGGAGGAGCAUUAACCGUCGGUGGUCGCGCUUUUGUUCUGCAUCUGCACUUGACAGUCACUGGUUCUGCACCACUGAGUUAAAUAUGUGUAAAUGUAGAGCAUCUGCGUUCCUAUGAGCUGUCAGCCACACCGGGAAGCCUGUCUAUGAAUCUGCAGUCAGACUUCAGUGAUCCAACCCCACUCUCUGCACACAAGAUUGAUGGCAUGCUGCUGUUGACCCCCAAGAGGUUCAUACAAGUGAGACCACUGGAAUUACAUGAUGUCCACACAAGGCGUACCACUGUUCUCCAUGCCCUUCCUGUCUAUCUACGUGAGGAAACCUCUGGAUUUUUGAGGACAUGUGUGGAUGAUACCAAUGAGCUGGACCUCCGGGAUGCAGCAGUUGUCCUCCUGACAACCAUCACCGAUGAUGCCGAGAGUCCAGUUACGUACGACCCAGUGAGAAUCUGUUAUCCUAGAGGGUGAUGUGAUUGUCAACCUCUCCAGCCUUCCUGAUGUCUUCCUGGGCGUGCUCAGUUGAAGUUUCCAUCUCUGCGCGUUCAAGAUGUAAGAAAAAUAACACGAAAGAAAUGCAACAACGAAAACUUCAAAAAGGCAUCAACAACCAAGCAAGUGGAUCCAUAAAAUGGACUGAUUUUUUUAAAGGCAUUUUUAAAAAGUCUUUCAAAAUGGACAGAAUUAACGCGUCAUGUUCAGAACAGUUUGUGUUCUCAUCUUUGAUUAAUCCUGGUAAACAGGUCUGUUUUUGUUCUGUUCUAAUUCUCUCUGUUUAAUAAAUUUAAACAAAAUGA
This is a non-coding RNA of Nothobranchius furzeri (turquoise killifish), 1983 nucleotides long. NCBI's taxonomy places the organism in Eukaryota, Metazoa, Chordata, Actinopteri, Cyprinodontiformes, Nothobranchiidae. The record is from RefSeq and is a predicted model, not a curated record.